This 236-nucleotide unclassified non-coding RNA is filed under the name uncultured Scleroderma. Its description in RNAcentral is "sequence contains ITS2". The record is from RNAcentral. Lineage: Eukaryota; Fungi; Basidiomycota; Agaricomycetes; Boletales; Sclerodermataceae.
AAACCUCGGAUCGACGCUUCGCCCGAAGCUCGGUUCGGACUAUGGGAGUCUGCUGGCGAAGCGUGACUUCGUCGGCUCUCCUCAAAAGCAUUAGCUGUGGGUGGCGAGCCUGGCAUGGCACGGCCUGUUCGACGUCGUAGUGAUCGUCGCGGGCUGGAAGUGUACGGCUCGACGUGACCCAUGCUUCUCGAGUCUUGCGAGCCCGUCCCUCCGUGGGACGGCCGCGCCCCAUCGAA